CCCACACACACACCCACACCCACUCUUCUUCCCCCAACCGUCUCGGAUCGGAGCAGAGCAGAGGCUCUCCCUUGGCCUUCCUCCCUCUCGGCAGCAGGCUCGACCUUUGCAUGGCAGCAGUGGCUACCUCCAAGGGGCGGGUGAUCGCUGGGAGCCUCGUCGCGCGCGUCCUUGCCGGCAAGGCCGCCAACGCCUCCCCGAGGUAUGCUCACACGCCUCCUGUGAGCUCAAAGAAAGAAUCAGAGUACUAGCAUACGUACUUACGUUGGAAGUAGAUCAGUACCACUACUGCUGCUAGUUCAACAGUGCCUCCGAGAUCUAGUUGCUCCGGAGAUUUGUAAAUGGUUCCUUUUGCUGCUCUCACCUCGGCUGCCGUGGGUACUGGUUCCCCCAUCGGUUCGCCAUCACAAUCAUCAUCUUGGUAUGGAAAUUGAUUAACCCGUGUUCUGUGAAGCGGCGCUGGGGAUAGGUACGUACCGUCGUGCUGCGCUAGAACUUGCAACACAGUUUCCCAACCCAACCCAAAGUUAGAAAGAUUGUGUCUCGAGUUCUCAGUCACGUCCUCCCCGCCUUGGAAACGCUCACAAAACUUCUUUGUAAAGCAGGGCGCAAGUGCCUUUUUCUCUCUCUAAAAAAAGCUUCCGUUUCACAAACUUGUUUGGUCCCUGUAAUAAGAACAGCAAAAAUAUCUUUCAUCUCUCCUGCCCAUAUGCGUCGACGAUCCGUAGCAGCAGCACAUCAUAUGAGUAGGACGGAUGUCAAGAUAAAUCUGCAGAGCAGGAGAGAGCUCCACCACAGAAGAAGGCAGAGAAGGCCAGAUCCAUGGAGAUAUUUCUCUGCGCCUCCCAGUUGCGGCCGGCUCGUCGGAGAUGGCCAAGACAUCACCCGAGCCCCGGCGGCGAAGGGAUAGUGCAAGGAUAUUAUUCACGGCCCGGACGGGUCGGUCGCUCGUUUCUGUUUCUUUCUGGGAGAUUUUAUUGACGGCAGCGAAUGGGUGGACGGGUAGGUGCGGGGUGGUUGUCCGUCCGUCCGUCCGCCAUCUGCCGGCCUGAGCGCUCCCUUGGUUUUCACUCCAAGGAUGGGGCUGGUGCGAGGCGAGAGGUUGGUGGUGGCGCCCACGGUCGGGGUUGCCGUGAGAUCAAGGCGCGGAUGAGACCCUCGGGCCCGCGGUCUGGCCCUGCACGAUCCCACUUCUUCUGGGCUCCGGAUCUGAACCGGCCGGCGGGCGACGUGUCGUCCAUCGGGUCCCGGGGCGGACGUACUGGGUGCACGUACACGCUAGGGUGAGUAGGAUGAUGGCGCCGGUCUUAUCCACAAGACCCACCCACCCACCCACCGUCGUGCUGCCCCACCUUCUCCCGCCGUCUCUUCUUUGCUCACUGACCUAAGGCAGCCAGUGGAGUCCGGCCACAGCGCAAACGGCGUGCUUCGUGCCACCAUCAGUCACCACGCAUGGCCGGGCUCGUUCUAUGGUGCGUACCGAACUGAAAGAAAAAUUGGUUUAUGGGCGCCCACACGGCACGGCACGGCACUCUUUGCGUGAACUCGCCGUCCCGGGCACCAACAACACACUUUGUGCUGCCCACGGGAGCAGAAAAAAAUAAUAAAAAGAUGGAAAAGUGUAGCUUAAUGGCAAGCAAACGGACAGCGCACCGGUCAAGAUCUUAUGUACUCCCUCCGCCCGGUAAUAAGUGUAUUUUUUUCUUUUCUGUCAAUCAAACUAGUUAAACUUUGAUUAACUUUAUUGAAAAAGUGCUAGCAUUUAUGACAUCAGAUUAGUAUCAAUAGAUUUGCCUUUACAUGAGGUUUCCAAAUAUAUCAUUUUCAUGCCAUAUAUGUUGCUACUAUUUACUAUAAAAUUGGUCAAAUUUUUUAAAAAUUGACUAAGUACUAAUCUAUAUGUAUGCUUAUUUGUGGACGGAGGGAGUACAUAGUUAUAAUAACUUCAUUUAGUCAAUAAAAUCUUGGUAACACCCACCCACAUAUAUAGGACUUUUAAUUAACGCUCACUCAUUGGGCUGCCCUAUUGCUAGUCAAUGCAAUGGCUUAUAUAUAAUCAACUGACGCCGUGAUGCGUACGUGCAUUGUUUCAUCAUCGUUCUUUUGCAUCAUGAACGGAGUAUUUUCCUUACCAUCAAGUCAACGUGGUACCGUUGUGUAUGUAGGAUCCAACGACCUCAUUAACGAGCGAUCCGGUUUUGGUGUUUGGGUUUUGCAGGAGGGCGGUGCACGCGUCGGCCUACGACAAGAACGUGGACGAGCAGGUGCGCCCGGCCUUCGUGCCGGACGAUGUGAUCGGCGGCGCCGGGAGCCCAGACAAGUACUGGGGCCCUCACCCGACCACCGGCGUCUUCGGCCCGGCCGCGGUCGACCCCAAGCUGUCCGCCAGCCUCGCGGCGCCGGCCAGCGCCGCGAAUGGUGGCGGCGCCUCCGUGCUGGACCAGAAGGUGUGGUUCCGCCCGCUCGAGGACGUCGAGAAGCCCCCCGUCGCCUGAUCGCCGCCGGCGACCACAGCCCAGCUCGACAUCU
This 2529-nucleotide long non-coding RNA is filed under the name Hordeum vulgare. RNAcentral's name for it is "long non-coding RNA (HVUL_LNC005554)". Lineage: Eukaryota; Viridiplantae; Streptophyta; Magnoliopsida; Poales; Poaceae. The record is from RNAcentral.